GAUGAACGCUGGCGGCAUGCCUUACACAUGCAAGUCGAACGGUAACAGGUCUUCGGAUGCUGACGAGUGGCGAACGGGUGAGUAAUACAUCGGAACGUGCCCGAUCGUGGGGGAUAACGAGGCGAAAGCUUUGCCAAUACCGCAUAGGAUCUAUGGAUGAAAGCAGGGGACCGCAAGGCCUUGCGCGAACGGAGCGGCCGAUGGCAGAUUAGGUAGUUGGUGGGGUAAAGGCUUACCAAGCCUACGAUCUGUAGCUGGUCUGAGAGGACGACCAGCCACACUGGGACUGAGACACGGCCCAGACUCCUACGGGAGGCAGCAGUGGGGAAUUUUGGACAAUGGGCGCAAGCCUGAUCCAGCCAUGCCGCGUGCAGGAUGAAGGCCUUCGGGUUGUAAACUGCUUUUGUACGGAACGAAAAGCCUUCUUCUAAUAAAGGGAGGUCAUGACGGUACCGUAAGAAUAAGCACCGGCUAACUACGUGCCAGCCGCCGCGGUAA
RNAcentral lists this ribosomal RNA (498 nucleotides) under uncultured bacterium. Its description in RNAcentral is "partial 16S ribosomal RNA". It matches the Rfam family "Bacterial small subunit ribosomal RNA", at positions 28 to 523 of the family's 1533-position model. The record is from RNAcentral.